GGAGGAAUAUUGGUCAAUGGGCGCGAGCCUGAACCAGCCAAGUAGCGUGCAGGAUGACGGCCCUAUGGGUUGUAAACUGCUUUUGUGCGGGGAUAAAGUGUGCCACGUGUGGCAUAUUGCAGGUACCGCAUGAAUAAGGACCGGCUAAUUCCGUGCCAGCAGCCGCGGUAAUACGGAAGGUCCGGGCGUUAUCCGGAUUUAUUGGGUUUAAAGGGAGCGUAGGCCGCCUUUUAAGCGUGUUGUGAAAUGCAGUUGCCCAACAUCUGCACUGCAGCGCGAACUGGAGGGCUUGAGUUCACGGAAAGUUGGCGGAAUUCGUUGUGUAGCGGUGAAAUGCUUAGAUAUGACGAAGAACUCCGAUUGCGAAGGCAGCUGCUAUAGUGUUACUGACGCUGAAGCUCGAAAGUGC
RNAcentral lists this ribosomal RNA (409 nucleotides) under uncultured Prevotella sp. Its description in RNAcentral is "bacterial SSU rRNA". It matches the Rfam family "Bacterial small subunit ribosomal RNA", at positions 355 to 762 of the family's 1533-position model. Lineage: Bacteria; Pseudomonadati; Bacteroidota; Bacteroidia; Bacteroidales; Prevotellaceae. The record is from RNAcentral.